Tachysurus vachellii is the source of this 389-nucleotide long non-coding RNA. RefSeq lists it as uncharacterized. NCBI's taxonomy places the organism in Eukaryota, Metazoa, Chordata, Actinopteri, Siluriformes, Bagridae. The record is from RefSeq and is a predicted model, not a curated record. The transcript is spliced from 4 exons.
CGAGUGGUGAUUGACGCUCCUGACCACCAAUCAGUAUCGAGCAGGCACUAUUUAGAGCGGUUUGGUUUUGACCCUGCUAUGUGUCACGUCCAUAUCCUCCCCUUUUUCUGUUAUUAUAGCGGUUUCAGCCUGUCUUUUCCUCAUUGUGUGUGUCCCUGUCGGAUGCUGUUCGGAUCUGUUUACUGCCCUCCUUUCAGUUUAACAGCGGGUUAUGUGAGGGCUGCGUAUCCUGAGCGGUGAAUUGAUCCUCGUGAACUCAUCUAUCCGCAUUUGGAUUCUCCCUCUUGUUCGUCCUGUGCGAUUAUCACUGCAGUUUGGGUUUUCCCUCCACUGCGCGCCGAGCGAAUAAUAUCAGCUUACACUAUUUAAAGGGACUUCUGCUGCUGCCG